GCUCAUCAUGAUAGAGCACUUUUUCAAUAGGCUCCCCAACGACAAGGGGGUGACGCAUUCGUAUGUCAUCCAUAUCAACUUUCGAUGCCAUUUAAUGUGCCUACAAUGGUGACCACGGGUAAUGGGGAAUCAGGGUUUGAUUCCAGAG
This is a non-coding RNA of Pelobates cultripes (western spadefoot toad), 148 nucleotides long. Lineage: Eukaryota; Metazoa; Chordata; Amphibia; Anura; Pelobatidae. The record is from the annotation of a GenBank genome assembly.